This 85-nucleotide small nuclear RNA is filed under the name Panthera leo (lion). Its description in RNAcentral is "U2 spliceosomal RNA (ENSPLOG00000014047.1)". It matches the Rfam family "U2 spliceosomal RNA". From Rfam's summary of the family: U2 is a small nuclear RNA (snRNA) component of the spliceosome (involved in pre-mRNA splicing). Complementary binding between U2 snRNA (in an area lying towards the 5' end but 3' to hairpin I) and the branchpoint sequence (BPS) of the intron results the bulging out of an unpaired adenosine, on the BPS, which initiates a nucleophilic attack at the intronic 5' splice site, thus starting the first of two transesterification reactions that mediate splicing. The record is from Rfam by way of RNAcentral. Lineage: Eukaryota; Metazoa; Chordata; Mammalia; Carnivora; Felidae.
AUCGCUUCUCGGCCUUUUGGCUAAGAUCAAGUGUAGAAUUUAGUACUGUCAAUUUUUAGUAAUAUUUUAAUAUUUAGUACCGUUU